AUUGAACGCUGGCGGCAGGCCCAACACAUGCAAGUCGAGCGGAUGAAGGGAGCUUGCUCCUGGAUUCAGCGGCGGACGGGUGAGUAAUGCCUAGGAAUCUGCCUGGUAGUGGGGGAUAACGUCCGGAAACGGGCGCUAAUACCGCAUACGUCCUGAGGGAGAAAGUGGGGGAUCUUCGGACCUCACGCUAUCAGAUGAGCCUAGGUCGGAUUAGCUAGUUGGUGGGGUAAAGGCCUACCAAGGCGACGAUCCGUAACUGGUCUGAGAGGAUGAUCGGUCACACUGGAACUGAGACACGGUCCAGACUCCUACGGGAGGCAGCAGUGGGGAAUAUUGGACAAUGGGCGAAAGCCUGAUCCAGCCAUGCCGCGUGUGUGAAGAAGGUCUUCGGAUUGUAAAGCACUUUAAGUUGGGAGGAAGGGCAGUAAGUUAAUACCUUGCUGUUUUGACGUUACCAACAGAAUAAGCACCGGCUAACUUCGUG
This 484-nucleotide ribosomal RNA is filed under the name uncultured bacterium. Its description in RNAcentral is "partial 16S ribosomal RNA". It matches the Rfam family "Bacterial small subunit ribosomal RNA", at positions 30 to 507 of the family's 1533-position model. The record is from RNAcentral.